Molecule: ribosomal RNA, 403 nt
Rfam family: Bacterial small subunit ribosomal RNA
UGGGGAAUAUUGGGCAAUGGGGGAAACCCUGACCCAGCGACGCCGCGUGAGGGAAGAAGGUUUUCGGAUUGUAAACCUCUGUCUUCGGUGAAGAACAAAUGACGGUAGCCGAGGAGGAAGCCACGGCUAACUACGUGCCAGCAGCCGCGGUAAUACGUAGGUGGCAAGCGUUGUCCGGAAUUACUGGGUGUAAAGGGAGCGUAGGCGGGUGUGUAAGUAAAAUGUUAAACCUAUGGGCUCAACCCAUAGUUGCGUUUUAAACUGCACAUCUUGAGUGAAGUAGAGGCAGGCGGAAUUCCUAGUGUAGCGGUGAAAUGCGUAGAUAUUAGGAGGAACACCAGUGGCGAAGGCGGCCUGCUGGGCUUUUACUGACGCUGAGGCUCGAAAGCAUGGGGAGCAAACA